RNAcentral lists this long non-coding RNA (219 nucleotides) under Nicotiana benthamiana. RNAcentral's name for it is "long non-coding RNA (NBEN_LNC014517)". The record is from RNAcentral. Lineage: Eukaryota; Viridiplantae; Streptophyta; Magnoliopsida; Solanales; Solanaceae.
AAUAAUAUCAAACAGUAACUACCAUAAAUAACUAUCAUAAGGGGGACAAAAUCCAAUGUACAAAUCAUCUAUGGAUAGCCCUGUCAAGCCUCAACCAACCCCGGGAAAGGAGUACGAAAAAUUCUAGCAGCCCAUAUCCUACAAUCCUGAUACUAGACCUCUAGACUUUUCUAUCAAGGGCCAUGUCCGCGGAAAUCCGCAUUCUAGUCAUGUCAUGCC